AAAAUUAUCAAAUUUGAAAGCCAAUUUUUGGCAAAACUGCAGGUGUUAUCGAUUACAACAUUUUGUUAUUCGACCUUAUAAGCUUUUAGACGAAAUUUGCACCCGUCAAAUUGUAGUCUCUGCAUGGGGGAAACGAAAAGUCAAAAUCAGGUGAGUGGCUGAUGGCCUAAUAUUUAUCUACUGUUCGAAACAAAAUAAUUAUAUAUUCUUCAUGCUUGAUGAUUAAUGACAAUUUCUUUUAGGGAUUUAUUUAUUCUUACAAACGAGAACUGAUUCAUGACGAAGAUUGCAUCGACAUAUCAAAACCUUAUGCUGGGGCAGCAGUAUUCAUUGAAAGAUGUCAUGGUCGACUUGCGAAUCAACAGCUGUAUUAUACUAAGG
Paramuricea clavata is the source of this 381-nucleotide non-coding RNA. The record is from the annotation of a GenBank genome assembly. NCBI's taxonomy places the organism in Eukaryota, Metazoa, Cnidaria, Anthozoa, Malacalcyonacea, Plexauridae.